AUUGAACGCUGGCGGCAUGCCUUACACAUGCAAGUCGAACGGCAGCGGACCUUCGGGUGCCGGCGAGUGGCGAACGGGUGAGUAAUGCAUCGGAACGUGCCAUUGAGUGGGGGAUAACGUAGCGAAAGUUGCGCUAAUACCGCAUAUUCUGUGAGCAGGAAAGCAGGGGACCGCAAGGCCUUGCGCUCUUUGAGCGGCCGAUGUCAGAUUAGCUAGUUGGUGAGGUAACGGCUUACCAAGGCGACGAUCUGUAGCGGGUCUGAGAGGAUGAUCCGCCACACUGGAACUGAGACACGGUCCAGACUCCUACGGGAGGCAGCAGUGGGGAAUUUUGGACAAUGGGCGCAAGCCUGAUCCAGCCAUGCCGCGUGAGU
This 374-nucleotide ribosomal RNA is filed under the name uncultured bacterium. RNAcentral's name for it is "bacterial SSU rRNA". It matches the Rfam family "Bacterial small subunit ribosomal RNA", at positions 30 to 406 of the family's 1533-position model. The record is from RNAcentral.